GCUGCAAGGAAAUCUGGCGCGGUUCAAUACCUCGUCUAGCCUGGGUUCCAGUAUCUAAUUUUUUUUUUGUUUUAACUGACAAACUCAUUUCUCUACUGGGACAGGAUGCUGUGCUGGCUGGAAGUUCCAUUUCUACAGCAAGAAUCCUAUCUGGAAACACAGAAGUUGUCCUCUAGCCACAGCAGCUCGAACUUUUUUGAUUGUCGUUGCUGCUUUCUCCCAUCACCCCCAUCCCCUUUUGACAAAGAUCCAACUGUAAAAAGUCUUACGUAACAGUUCAGGACUACUUCGGUUCUUUUACUGGAUGGAGUCUCGCUCUGUCACCCAGGCUGGAGUGCAGUGGUGUGAUCUCGGCUCACUGCAACCUCUGCCUCCUGGGUUCAACUGAUCCUCUCACCUCAGCCUCCAAAGUAGCUGGAACAACAGGCACUCACCACCACGCCUGGCUAAUUUUUGUAUUUCUAGUAGAGAUGUGGUUUUGACAUGUUGGCCAAGCUGUCUCGAAUUCCUGACCUCAAGUGAUCCGCCCACCUCAGCCUCCCAAGUAGCUGGGACCACAGGCACGUACCACCAUGCCUGGAUAAUUUUUUGUAUUUUUAGUAGAGACAGGAUUUUGCCAUGUGGCCCAGGCUGGUCUCAAACUCCUGACCUCAAGUGAUCCACCCGCCUCAGCCUCCCAAAGUGUUGGGAUUAUAGGCGUGAGCCACCGCACCCGGCCUGAAAUCUUUCUUCACUUAAAAUAUUGUGGCCAUCUUUCCAUAUCGAUAUAUCAGAACCACCUUCCAAAGAACUGGCUCAAACAGAAAAGAAAGCAAAGAGUCAAGAAUGAUGCCAAACUUUCCUGACUAGAUUAGGAGCCUGGAGUGUACUAAGAAAGAAAUGGGCAAUUUCACAAUGGAAGAAAGAGGAUUCCACUUUUGGAACAGAUAUCAGAACAAGGAAUGCACAUUUAUGAUUCAUAAGCAUGGAUCUGAGAAAGAAUGAUCUAAGUGCAGAAAGAAAAAGGUAACAAAUACUUAUUGGACACCUAGUGUAUACCUGGACUGCAACAGGAGCCAGGAGACAUGGAAGAAACAAAAGUAUAUAACGUAAAAGGCAGAACUAAUUCUAACGAACAAAUAGCUAAUUGCAAGUGUGAAGAGCUCUGCAGAAGAUAAAAGUAAGGUACUAUGAGAGCAAAUAAUAGGAGGGACCAAUCCAGUCUUGGUGGUAAGAAGGGUCAGGGAACUUCCUUGAGGAAGUGAUGUAUAAGUAAAGACUUCAAGGGUAUGUGUAACUACCUUGGUGAAAUAGAGUAAGCAUUCCAAGCAUAGAGAAUGGAUGGUAUGUUGUGUAGGCCAAAGAAGCAGUGUUUUUACAAAACAGAAAUUGUGACUAAAGCACAUAAAAAGAUGGUGAAAAAGUCAUGAGACAAGGCCAGAAA
Molecule: long non-coding RNA, 1423 nt
Filed under: Homo sapiens (human)
Lineage: Eukaryota; Metazoa; Chordata; Mammalia; Primates; Hominidae
Description: HSALNT0354833
Source: RNAcentral